ACGCGACCCAGGUCAGGCGGGACCACCGCUGAGUUUAAGCAUAUCA
This 46-nucleotide ribosomal RNA is filed under the name Polygala vulgaris subsp. oxyptera. Its description in RNAcentral is "partial 26S ribosomal RNA". The record is from RNAcentral. Lineage: Eukaryota; Viridiplantae; Streptophyta; Magnoliopsida; Fabales; Polygalaceae.